RNAcentral lists this ribosomal RNA (577 nucleotides) under Marquandomyces marquandii. Its description in RNAcentral is "LSU rRNA". It matches the Rfam family "Eukaryotic large subunit ribosomal RNA", at positions 43 to 643 of the family's 3401-position model. The record is from RNAcentral. Lineage: Eukaryota; Fungi; Ascomycota; Sordariomycetes; Hypocreales; Clavicipitaceae.
UCAAUAAGCGGAGGAAAAGAAACCAACAGGGAUUGCCCCAGUAACGGCGAGUGAAGCGGCAACAGCUCAAAUUUGAAAUCUGGCCCCUAGGGCCCGAGUUGUAAUUUGCAGAGGAUGCUUUUGGCGAGGUGCCUUCCGAGUUCCCUGGAACGGGACGCCAUAGAGGGUGAGAGCCCCGUCUGGUUGGAUACCGAGCCUCUGUAAAGCUCCUUCGACGAGUCGAGUAGUUUGGGAAUGCUGCUCUAAAUGGGAGGUAUAUGUCUUCUAAAGCUAAAUAUUGGCCAGAGACCGAUAGCGCACAAGUAGAGUGAUCGAAAGAUGAAAAGCACUUUGAAAAGAGGGUUAAAAAGUACGUGAAAUUGUUGAAAGGGAAGCGCUCAUGACCAGACUUGGGCCCGGUGAAUCACCCAGCGUUCUCGCUGGGGCACUUUGCCGGGCUCAGGCCAGCAUCAGUUCGCGUCGGGGGACAAAGACUUCGGGAAUGUGGCUCCUCCGGGAGUGUUAUAGCCCGUUGUGCAAUACCCUGGGGCGGACUGAGGUUCGCGCAUCUGCAAGGAUGCUGGCGUAAUGGUCAUCA